Molecule: ribosomal RNA, 430 nt
Filed under: bacterium
Lineage: Bacteria
Description: partial 16S ribosomal RNA
Rfam family: Bacterial small subunit ribosomal RNA
Source: RNAcentral
UGGGGAAUAUUGGACAAUGGGCGCAAGCCUGAUCCAGCCAUGCCGCGUGUGUGAAGAAGGCCUUUUGGUUGUAAAGCACUUUAAGCGAGGAGGAGGCUACUUGGAUUAAUACUCUAGGAUAGUGGACGUUACUCGCAGAAUAAGCACCGGCUAACUCUGUGCCAGCAGCCGCGGUAAUACAGAAGGUGCGAGCGUUAAUCGGAUUUACUGGGCGUAAAGCGUGCGUAGGCGGCUUCUUAAGUCGGAUGUGAAAUCCCUGAGCUUAACUUAGGAAUUGCAUUCGAUACUGGGAAGCUAGAGUAUGGGAGAGGAUGGUAGAAUUCCAGGUGUAGCGGUGAAAUGCGUAGAGAUCUGGAGGAAUACCGAUGGCGAAGGCAGCCAUCUGGCCUAAUACUGACGCUGAGGUACGAAAGCAUGGGGAGCAAACAGG